RNAcentral lists this ribosomal RNA (460 nucleotides) under uncultured bacterium. Its description in RNAcentral is "partial 16S ribosomal RNA". It matches the Rfam family "Bacterial small subunit ribosomal RNA", at positions 338 to 795 of the family's 1533-position model. The record is from RNAcentral.
CCUACGGGUGGCAGCAGUGAGGAAUAUUGGUCAAUGGACGAGAGUCUGAACCAGCCAAGUAGCGUGCAGGAUGACUGCCCUAUGGGUUGUAAACUUCUUUUAUAUGGGAAUAAAGUGCUCCACGUGUGGGAUUUUGUAUGUACCAUAUGAAUAAGGAUCGGCUAACUCCGUGCCAGCAGCCGCGGUAAUACGGAGGAUCCGAGCGUUAUCCGGAUUUAUUGGGUUUAAAGGGAGCGUAGGUGGAUUGUUAAGUGAGUUGUGAAAGUUUGCGGCUCAACCGUAAAAUUGCAGUUGAAACUGGCAGUCUUGAGUACAGUAGAGGUGGGCGGAAUUCGUGGUGUAGCGGUGAAAUGCUUAGAUAUCACGAAGAACUCCGAUUGCGAAGGCAGUUCACUGGACUGCAACUGACACUGAGGCUCGAAAGUGUGGGUAUCAAACAGGAUUAGAUACCCUAGUAGUC